UGGGGAAUAUUGGACAAUGGGGGCAACCCUGAUCCAGCAAUACCGCGUGUGUGAAGAAGGCCUGAGGGUUGUAAAGCACUUUCAAUUGUGAAGAAAAGUUAACGGUUAAUAACCGUUGACCUUGACGUUAACUUUAGAAGAAGCACCGGCUAACUCCGUGCCAGCAGCCGCGGUAAUACGGAGGGUGCAAGCGUUAAUCGGAAUUACUGGGCGUAAAGCGUGCGUAGGCGGUUUAUUAAGUCAGAUGUGAAAGCCCCGGGCUUAACCUGGGAACUGCAUUUGAAACUGGUCAACUAGAGUAUGGUAGAGGAAAGUGGAAUUUCUGGUGUAGCGGUGAAAUGCGUAGAUAUCAGAAGGAACAUCAAUGGCGAAGGCAGCUUUCUGGACCAAUACUGACGCUGAGGUACGAAAGCGUGGGUAGCAAACAGG
This 429-nucleotide ribosomal RNA is filed under the name uncultured bacterium. Its description in RNAcentral is "bacterial SSU rRNA". It matches the Rfam family "Bacterial small subunit ribosomal RNA", at positions 355 to 776 of the family's 1533-position model. The record is from RNAcentral.